This 147-nucleotide non-coding RNA is filed under the name Solanum lycopersicum (tomato). Its description in RNAcentral is "Bacterial large subunit ribosomal RNA". It matches the Rfam family "Bacterial large subunit ribosomal RNA", at positions 2662 to 2808 of the family's 2925-position model. Lineage: Eukaryota; Viridiplantae; Streptophyta; Magnoliopsida; Solanales; Solanaceae. RNAcentral also lists the same sequence under 1 other name. The record is from Rfam by way of RNAcentral.
CAUGAGAUGAUCUUUCCCUAGUACAAGAGGAUCGGGAAGGUCCCACCUCUAGUUUACCAGCUAUCGUGCCCACGGUAAAAGCUGGGUAUCCAAGUGCGGAGCAAAUAGCUACCUAAAGCAUCUAAGUAGUUUGCCCCCUCUAAGAUG